Molecule: ribosomal RNA, 497 nt
Filed under: uncultured bacterium
Lineage: Bacteria
Description: partial 16S ribosomal RNA
Rfam family: Bacterial small subunit ribosomal RNA
Source: RNAcentral
GAUGAACGCUGGCGGCGUGCCUAAUACAUGCAAGUCGAGCGGACGGACGCGGAGCUUGCUUUUUUCUUGUUAGCGGCGCACGUGUGAGUAACGCGUGGAUAACCCACUUAUCAGUCUGGGAUAACUUCGGGACACCGGAGCUAAUACCGGAUAAUAUCCUGAACCGCAGUGUUCAAAGGAGAAAUACGGCGUUGCUGUCACUACUAGCUGCAUCCGCGCUGCAUUGGCUAGUUGGUAAGGUAACGGCCUACCAAGGCAACGAUGCAUAGCCGAACUGAGGGAGUGGUCGGCCGCACUGGAGCUUGAACGCGGUCCAUACGCCUACGAGAGGCAGCAGAAGGGAACCUGCCGCAGUAGGCGGAAGCCUGACGGAACAACGGGGCGUGUGUGAUGGAGGUCUUGGGAGCGUAAUACUCUGCUAUGAGGUAAGAACAUAUGUGUAAGGAACUGUGGACAUCUUGACGGUACUUAGUCAGAAAGCCACGGCUAACUACGUG